This 497-nucleotide ribosomal RNA is filed under the name uncultured bacterium. RNAcentral describes it as "partial 16S ribosomal RNA". It matches the Rfam family "Bacterial small subunit ribosomal RNA", at positions 28 to 507 of the family's 1533-position model. The record is from RNAcentral.
GAUGAACGCUGGCGGCGUGCCUAAUACAUGCAAGUCGAGCGAACAGACGAGGAGCUUGCUCCUCGCACGUUAGCGGCGGACGUGUGAGUAACACGUGUAUAACCUACCUAUCAGACUGGUAUCACUUCGGAAAACCGGCGCUAAUCCCGUAUAAUCUAUUGAACCGCAUGGUUCGAUAGUGAAAUACGGUUUUGCUGUCACUUAUAGAUGGAUCUGCGCCGCAUUAGCUAGUUGGUAAGGUAACGGCUUACCAAGGCAACGAUGCGUAGCCGACCUGAGAGAGGGAUCGGCCACACUGGAACGUAGACACGGACAAGAGUACUACGGGAGGCAGCAGUAGGGAUCGUGACGCAAUGGGCGAGAGCUUGACGGAGCAGCGCCGAGUGAGAGAUGGAGGUGUUGGGAUCGUAAUACUCUGUUAUUAGGGAAGAACAAAUGUGUAAGUAAACAUGGACGUAUUGACGGUACCUAGUCAGAAAGCCACGGCUAACUACGUG